GGCAGUUCUCAGGUGACACAUUCUGAAAUCAGGCUCCCUCCUCUGUAGUGCCAGGUGCGUCACCCGAGAACUGCA
Molecule: non-coding RNA, 75 nt
Organism: Myotis lucifugus (little brown bat)
Lineage: Eukaryota; Metazoa; Chordata; Mammalia; Chiroptera; Vespertilionidae
Source: Rfam